UACGUAGGGUGCAAGCGUUAAUCGGAAUUACUGGGCGUAAAGCGUGCGCAGGCGGCUUUGCAAGACAGAUGUGAAAUCCCCGGGCUUAACCUGGGAACUGCAUUUGUGACUGCAUGGCUAGAGUGCGGCAGAGGGGGAUGGAAUUCCGCGUGUAGCAGUGAAAUGCGUAGAGAUGUGGAGGAACCCCGAUGGCGAACGCAGCCUCCUGGGCCAAUACUGACGCUCAUGCACGAAAGCGUGGGGAGCAAACAGG
RNAcentral lists this ribosomal RNA (253 nucleotides) under uncultured bacterium. Its description in RNAcentral is "partial 16S ribosomal RNA". It matches the Rfam family "Bacterial small subunit ribosomal RNA", at positions 524 to 776 of the family's 1533-position model. The record is from RNAcentral.